Sphaerodactylus townsendi is the source of this 2679-nucleotide RNA transcript. It is a transcript of the gene named mitogen-activated protein kinase 15, with no coding region annotated. The transcript has 13 exons. NCBI's taxonomy places the organism in Eukaryota, Metazoa, Chordata, Lepidosauria, Squamata, Sphaerodactylidae. The record is from RefSeq and is a predicted model, not a curated record.
CUCUCCGCGUCCCGCCGUUCCCCUGGCAACGGCCGUCUACACGCGCGACUGGGCGCCUGCAGGAUGACGAGCGCGGCGGCGGCGGCGGCCGAGGUGGAGGAGCCGGUGGCGCGGCGCUACGAGAUCAAGCGGCGCCUCGGCAAGGGGGCCUACGGGAUCGUGUGGAAGGCGGUCGACCGCAAGACUGGCGAAGUCGUGGCCGUGAAGAAGAUCUUCGACGCCUUCCGGAACCGCACCGACGCCCAGAGAACAUUCCGAGAAAUAAUGUUCCUUCAGGAAUUUGGAGAACACCCAAACAUCAUCAAACUCCUGAAUGUUAUCCGCGCUCAGAACGACAAGGACAUUUAUCUGGUGUUUGAAUCCAUGGAGACAGACUUGCAUGCUGUGAUUAAGAAGGGGGAUUUACUGAAAGAUAUUCACAAGUGUUAUAUCCUGUAUCAGCUCCUGAAGGCCACCAAAUUCAUCCACUCAGGAAACGUCAUUCACAGGGAUCAGAAGCCUUCCAACAUCCUGCUGGAUGCAGACUGCUUUGUUAAACUGUGUGACUUUGGGCUGGCCCGUUCCCUGUGCCAAAUCCACAAGGAUCACGGCAGCCAAGCACUUACAGAGUAUGUUGCAACUCGCUGGUAUCGGGCCCCUGAGAUUCUGCUUGCUUCUCACAGCUACACCAAGGGCGUGGACAUGUGGAGCCUCGGCUGCAUUUUGGGGGAGAUGCUGCUUGGAAAGCCCUUGUUCCCAGGCACGUCCACAGUCAACCAAAUUGAGCAGAUUUUGCGCGUCAUCCCUCCUCCAUCCCCAGAAGGAAAGUGUUGGUCUGUUCCUCGUGGUAACAAUCAGAUUGCUUCUGAUUGCAGAUGUUUCAGCCUUUCAUUCGGACUACAGAGCCUCUAUUAUCAGCCGCCUGAGCUCCCAGCCUUGGACCUUCUGAAAAGGCUCUUGGUCUUUAACCCUGAGAAGCGGCUGACAGUAGAAGAGGCACUGGAGCACCCCUAUGUGCAAAGGUUCCACUGUCCCACCAAAGAGCCUGCUCUGGAUUACAACGUGGUCCUCCCCCUGGAUGAUGACUUGCAGCUCUCUGUGGCUGAAUAUCGCAAUAAGCUGUAUGAGAUUAUUUUGGAAAGGAAGGCAAAUGACCAGCGUCAGCCACAGCAACGUCCAAGAAAGACUCUUCAGCCCAGUUCCUCACAGCCACACCUCCCUUUUGAAUCUCCAUGCAAGAUGCAGAGGACCCCACAACCCGCUCUGCCAAGUGGCUCUCCUGCGCCAUCCGGGCCUCCUUGUGAAGCUUCCUACCAAAGUGCAGGUGACAUCAGGCGUGGCUGCCCAAGGUCGGCCAUGAAUUCCACUGUGUGCAACCCUGUUGCCCACAUUGCUGCCAAUGAUAGCCAGUGGCCCUGCACCGUGGCGAGGAAUCGCUCCGCUCCCUUCUCUUCCCAUCAGGGCCCCUCCUCCCUCAACAGGAGGCCCGCAUCCCAGGCACCAGCAGACCAUCCUGCCCCUGCAGCUGUCGUGAAAGAACUCCCUGGCGUGAGUAAUUCUGCCUCGGGUCAGGGCCCCUAUCAUUGUGAGGAGGGGGGCUUCCCUUGGGAACGCUGCCGUGCCUCCUGCCACCCCUCCCCAGUCGAGGAAGGGGGGAGUGAACAUUGACCCCUGACAUCGACUGCCUCGUUGCCUCUUGACCUGGUUGAAUGUGUUGACUCUCACCUCACCAAUGCUCUUGUGGCCUCCUCACCUCCAGGAGGGCUCCUGUCCACUCAGUAAGGCCUUCAUUUGGCCUUGUGAUCCAGCCUGACCCUCGUCACAUGGAAAGGAAGUGGAAUUCUAGUCUACUUUUAGAGCUCUGGCUGGAACCUGAGGGUGUCUGUUAACAACUCUGUGCUCUCGGGGGGGGGGGCCUUCAGAUUUUAUGAAGGGGGUUGGUUAUUUUAUAACAACUAUGUACUUUGCUUCCUGUUUGGGGUUUAUUCUUCUUGCUUCUUCUAGAGAAACUGAAUUAUAAAAUGCAAAACUCUAUUCUGUUGAGACGACAGAGGAACCAGAACUCAGGCCUGUCUCUUGGCAUCAAGAACCGCUUACACAAACAUUUUUUGUUAGGGGAGCUGGACAGCAGGAUGUGUGUGCAGGAAGUCUGUGCUCAUUGCUCUGCAGAAGCAGCCGUCUGCUUGUGGGGGUGGGGGAGGAGGACAAGGAUACCAGGAAUCUGUGUCAGAGAGCAGCCGAAAUAUAAUGCCAAGAGAUGGUACUUUAAGUUCAGAGACCCUGGUUUAAAUUUUGCCUGAAGCCACUCCCAGCCACCUGCCCAUCUAGUAUGGGGAAAGCAGCAGAGGCCUACUUUGCAGGACUCCUGCCUACUCAGCAGCAGAAGGAUGAAUGCUGGAAAGCGCUGCAUAAAUCUGCAAUAGUCUUUGUGGAAAUGAGCGUGGGAUCCAGGAAGAGGAGGGGGAGAGCUGGACGGGGCGGUGCCUGUUUGCACAGGAGCUGGGGCCCUCUUGUUUGUUUCCUGGCCUUGUGCAAGAGGACUGAUGCUGAUGCUGAGAGCUGCCUCCAGGCACUGAAAGGGCCCGUGGGCCGAAGGCAGCUCACCUUCCACGGGAGACCACUGUCGCUUUCUGGCCAGGCUCAAGCAGCUGCUCUCAACCGCCCCCUGAUUAGGAAGGAGUCCUCACCCAGCAAGGCCCC